UACGGGGGGAGCAAGCGUUGUUCGGAUUUACUGGGCGUAAAGGGCGCGUAGGCGGCCACCGCAAGUCGACUGUGAAAUCUCCGGGCUUAACCCGGAAAGGUCAGCCGAUACUGCGGGGCUAGAGUGCAGAAGGGGCAACUGGAAUUCUCGGUGUAGCGGUGAAAUGCGUAGAUAUCGAGAGGAACACCUGCGGCGAAGGCGGGUUGCUGGGCUGACACUGACGCUGAGGCGCGAAGGCCAGGGGAGCAAACGGG
This 254-nucleotide ribosomal RNA is filed under the name uncultured bacterium. Its description in RNAcentral is "partial 16S ribosomal RNA". It matches the Rfam family "Bacterial small subunit ribosomal RNA", at positions 524 to 776 of the family's 1533-position model. The record is from RNAcentral.